GUUAACAUAGUUUAAUAAAACACUAGGUUGUGGACCUAGAGAUAGAAGUUAAACCCUUCUUGUAGACC
RNAcentral lists this transfer RNA (68 nucleotides) under Sphenomorphus indicus. Its description in RNAcentral is "tRNA-His". It matches the Rfam family "tRNA". From Rfam's summary of the family: Transfer RNA (tRNA) molecules are approximately 80 nucleotides in length. The record is from RNAcentral. Lineage: Eukaryota; Metazoa; Chordata; Lepidosauria; Squamata; Scincidae.